This 504-nucleotide ribosomal RNA is filed under the name uncultured bacterium. RNAcentral's name for it is "partial 16S ribosomal RNA". It matches the Rfam family "Bacterial small subunit ribosomal RNA", at positions 30 to 523 of the family's 1533-position model. The record is from RNAcentral.
AUUGAACGCUGGCGGCAGGCCUAACACAUGCAAGUCGAACGGUAGCACAGAGAGCUUGCUCUCGGGUGACGAGCGGCGGACGGGUGAGUAACGUCUGGGAAACUGCCCGAUGGAGGGGGAUAACUACUGGAAACGGUAGCUAAUACCGCAUAACGUCGCAAGACCAAAGUGGGGGACCUUCGGGCCUCACACCAUCGGAUGUGCCCAGAUGGGAUUAGCUAGUAGGUGGGGUAAUGGCUCACCUAGGCGACGAUCCCUAGCUGGUCUGAGAGGAUGACCAGCCACGCUGGAACUGAGACACGGUCCAGACUCCUACGGGAGGCAGCAGUGGGGAAUAUUGCACAAUGGGCGCAAGCCUGAUGCAGCCAUGCCGCGUGUAUGAAGAAGGCCUUCGGGUUGUAAAGUACUUUCAGCGGGGAGGAAGGCGGUGAAGUUAAUAACUUCACCGAUUGACGUUACCCGCAGAAGAAGCACCGGCUAACUCCGUGCCAGCCGCCGCAGUAA